GCUUAAAGUGCUUUUUCAAAAAUGAAAAAUACAAAUGUAGUCUUCAGGUUUACAAUAUAUGCAUGUAAACUAUAAAUGAGGAUCUGUCAAGCUGACAAGAACACAUAUAUUUUUUUCUAGGUUUAAUUCUUAUAAAAAAAACAAUUUCAAUAUGAUGAGUAAUGAAAAUUUUGUUGUGUAAAUUGUACUGAUAUGGCCCUUAAUUGAUCAUAAAAUAAGAAUUUGAGUGUUCUGUUUGUUAUUUUUACUUUUUGUUUACCAGAUUCAACUUUUCAAAAUUGAAGGGUUAAUCUAAUUUACUGAA
RNAcentral lists this long non-coding RNA (304 nucleotides) under Mytilus galloprovincialis (Mediterranean mussel). Lineage: Eukaryota; Metazoa; Mollusca; Bivalvia; Mytilida; Mytilidae. The record is from RNAcentral.